CGUUAAGUUGCAGGGUAUAGACCCGAAACCCGGUGAUCUAGCCAUGGGCAGGUUGAAGGUUGGGUAACACUAACUGGAGGACCGAACCGACUAAUGUUGAAAAAUUAGCGGAUGACCUGUGGCUGGGGGUGAAAGGCCAAUCAAACCGGGAGAUAGCUGGUUCUCCCCGAAAGCUAUUUAGGUAGCGCCUCGUGAAUUCAUCUCCGGGGGUAGAGCACUGUUUCGGCUAGGGGGCCAUCCCGGCUUACCAACCCGAUGCAAACUGCGAAUACCGGAGAAUGUUAUCACGGGAGACACACGGCGGGUGCUAACGUCCGUCGUGAAGAGGGAAACAACCCAGACCGCCAGCUAAGGUCCCAAAGUCAUGGUUAAGUGGGAAACGAUGUGGGAAGGCCCAGACAGCCAGGAUGUUGGCUUAGAAGCAGCCAUCAUUUAAAGAAAGCGUAAUAGCUCACUGGUCGAGUCGGCCUGCGCGGAAGAUGUAACGGGGCUAAACCAUGCACCGAAGCUGCGGCAGCGACGCUGAUGCGUUGUUGGGUAGGGGAGCGUUCUGUAAGCCUGCGAAGGUGGCCUGUGAGGGUUGCUGGAGGUAUCAGAAGUGCGAAUGCUGACAUAAGUAACGAUAAAGCGGGUGAAAAGCCCGCUCGCCGGAAGACCAAGGGUUCCUGUCCAACGUUAAUCGGGGCAGGGUGAGUCGACCCCUAAGGCGAGGCCGAAAGGCGUAGUCGAUGGGAAACGGGUUAAUAUUCCCGUACUUGGUGUUACUGCGAAGGGGGGACGGAGAAGGCUAUGUUGGCCGGGCGACGGUUGUCCCGGUUUAAGCGUGUAGGCUGGUUUUCCAGGCAAAUCCGGAAAAUCAAGGCUGAGGCGUGACGACGAGGCACUACGGUGCUGAAGCAACAAAUGCCCUGCUUCCAGGAAAAGCCUCUAAGCAUCAGGUAACACGAAAUCGUACCCCAAACCGACACAGGUGGUCAGGUAGAGAAUACCAAGGCGCUUGAGAGAACUCGGGUGAAGGAACUAGGCAAAAUGGUGCCGUAACUUCGGGAGAAGGCACGCUGACAUGUAGGUGAAGUGAUUUACUCAUGGAGCUGAAGUCAGUCGAAGAUACCAGCUGGCUGCAACUGUUUAUUAAAAACACAGCACUGUGCAAACACGAAAGUGGACGUAUACGGUGUGACGCCUGCCCGGUGCCGGAAGGUUAAUUGAUGGGGUCAGCGCAAGCGAAGCUCCUGAUCGAAGCCCCGGUAAACGGCGGCCGUAACUAUAACGGUCCUAAGGUAGCGAAAUUCCUUGUCGGGUAAGUUCCGACCUGCACGAAUGGCGUAAUGAUGGCCAGGCUGUCUCCACCCGAGACUCAGUGAAAUUGAACUCGCUGUGAAGAUGCAGUGUACCCGCGGCAAGACGGAAAGACCCCGUGAACCUUUACUAUAGCUUGACACUGAACAUUGAGCCUUGAUGUGUAGGAUAGGUGGGAGGCUUUGAAGUGUGGACGCCAGUCUGCAUGGAGCCGACCUUGAAAUACCACCCUUUAAUGUUUGAUGUUCUAACGUGGACCCGU
This 1561-nucleotide ribosomal RNA is filed under the name Salmonella enterica. RNAcentral's name for it is "partial 23S ribosomal RNA". It matches the Rfam family "Bacterial large subunit ribosomal RNA", at positions 693 to 2236 of the family's 2925-position model. Lineage: Bacteria; Pseudomonadati; Pseudomonadota; Gammaproteobacteria; Enterobacterales; Enterobacteriaceae. The record is from RNAcentral.